GUCUGGGUGGCUCAGUUGGUUAAGCAUCUGACUUUGGCUCAGGUCAUGAGCUCCCGGUUCGUGGGUUUGAGCCCCGCAUCAGGCU
This 85-nucleotide transfer RNA is filed under the name Felis catus (domestic cat). It matches the Rfam family "tRNA". From Rfam's summary of the family: Transfer RNA (tRNA) molecules are approximately 80 nucleotides in length. Their secondary structure includes four short double-helical elements and three loops (D, anti-codon, and T loops). RNAcentral also lists the same sequence under 1 other name. Lineage: Eukaryota; Metazoa; Chordata; Mammalia; Carnivora; Felidae. The record is from Rfam by way of RNAcentral.